RNAcentral lists this ribosomal RNA (366 nucleotides) under uncultured eukaryote. Its description in RNAcentral is "partial 18S ribosomal RNA". It matches the Rfam family "Eukaryotic small subunit ribosomal RNA", at positions 592 to 976 of the family's 1831-position model. The record is from RNAcentral.
CAAUAGCGUAUAUUUAAGUUGUUGCAGUUAAAAAGCUCGUAGUCGGAUUUUGGCUGAGAACGAUCGGUCCGCCGUUAGGUGUGCACUGAUUGGUCUCAGCUUCCUGGUGAGGAGGUGUGCUUCACGGCCACUUAGUCACCGUGGUUACUUUGAAAAAAUUAGAGUGUUCAAAGCGGGCUUACGCUUGAAUAUAUUAGCAUGGAAUAACACCAUAGGACUCCUGUCCUAUUUCGUUGGUCUCGGGACGGGAGUAAUGAUUAAGAGGAACAGUUGGGGGGCAUUCGUAUUUCAUUGUCAGAGGUGAAAUUCUUGGAUUUAUGAAAGACGAACUUCUGCGAAAGCAUUUGCCAAGGAUGUUUUCAUUGA